CAAUGUUUGUCUGUAAAAAUUUUUAUUUAAAAGUUUAAACUUAGCUUGAUAUUUUAGUUGAUAAUUUUUUUAUAUGUAAAUUUUAUAAUUUAAAUAAUAAGUUAGCAGUAUUUAAUUUUAAAUAUUUAAGGAAUUAAGAUUUAGGAAUUAAUUUAAGUAUUAACAAAAUUUGUGCCAGCAGUUGCGGUUAUACAAAUAAUGCAAUUAAAUUUUAUUGGUUAAUAAUAAAUUAUUUUUAAUUAGUUUAAUAUUAAAUUUAUUAAGUGAAAUUUUAAAUUUAUUUAAAUUAUUUAUAAUUAUUUGAUUUAUGAAAUUUUUAUUUAAACUAGGAUUAGAUACCCUAUUAUUUAAAAUGUAAAACUUUACCUAAUUAGUAUUAGUUAUGUUCUUAAAAAUUAAAAGUUUUGGCGGUAUUUUAGUCUAUUUAGAGGAAUCUGUUUAGUAAUUGAUAAUCCACGAUUUAUGGUACUUAAAUUUUUAAUUUGUAUAUCGUCGUAGUAAAAUAUUUUAUUAGAAAAUUAAUAUUUAAUAAUUAUGAUUAUAAUUUAAAUCAGAUCAAGAUGUAGUUUAUAUUUAAGGAUAAAUGGAUUACAAUAAAGUUAUUUUUGGAUAAUAAAUUUAAAAUUUAUUUGAAAUUGGAUUUAAUAGUAAUAUAAAUUAAAUUUUUUAUAUGAUUUUAGCUCUAAAAUAUGUACAUAUUGCCCGUCGCUUUCAUUUAAAAUGAAAUAAGUCGUAACAAAGUAGAUGUAUUGGAAAAUGUAUCUAGAAUCAA
RNAcentral lists this non-coding RNA (772 nucleotides) under Staphylinidae sp. BMNH 1274190. Lineage: Eukaryota; Metazoa; Arthropoda; Insecta; Coleoptera; Staphylinidae. The record is from RNAcentral.